RNAcentral lists this non-coding RNA (30 nucleotides) under Mus musculus (house mouse). The record is from RNAcentral. Lineage: Eukaryota; Metazoa; Chordata; Mammalia; Rodentia; Muridae.
UGAAAAGGUGUCAGUAGGUACACAUGGAGA